AUAAAAGUAAGCUAAUUUAAGCUAAUGGGUUCAUACCUCAUAAAUGAAUAUUUAUAUUAAGUCCAUCUAUA
RNAcentral lists this transfer RNA (71 nucleotides) under Parasteatoda cingulata. Its description in RNAcentral is "tRNA-Met". Lineage: Eukaryota; Metazoa; Arthropoda; Arachnida; Araneae; Theridiidae. The record is from RNAcentral.